CCAAUAGCGUAUAUUAAAGUUGUUGCAGUUAAAAAGCUCGUAGUUGAAUUUCGGGGUCAGCAAGUUGGUCGUGCCACUGGUAUGCACUGGCUUUGCUGAUUCCUCCUUCUUGUAGAACCGUAAUGCCAUUUAGUUGGUAUUGCGGGGAAACAGGACUGUUACUUUGAAAAAAUUAGAGUGUUUAAAGUAGGCUAACGCCUGAAUACAUCAGCAUGGAAUAAUGAAAUAGGACGAGCGAUCCUAUUUUGUUGGUUUCUAGGAUUGACGUAAUGAUUAAUAGGGAUAGUUGGGGGCAUUAGUAUUCAAUUGUCAGAGGUGAAAUUCUUGGAUUUACUGAAGACUGACUACUGCGAAAGCAUUUGCCAAGGAUGUUUUCAUUAAUCAAGAACGAAAGUUAGGGGAUCGAAGACGAUCAGAUACCGUCGUAGUCUUAACCAUAAACUAUGCCGACUAGGGAUCGGAUGAUGUUAAUUUUUUAAUGACUCAUUCGGCGCCUUACG
RNAcentral lists this ribosomal RNA (500 nucleotides) under uncultured Glomeromycotina. RNAcentral describes it as "partial small subunit ribosomal RNA". It matches the Rfam family "Eukaryotic small subunit ribosomal RNA", at positions 591 to 1092 of the family's 1831-position model. Lineage: Eukaryota; Fungi; Glomeromycota. The record is from RNAcentral.